AAAGAAGGGAGCGGGGAGGAAGGGAGAGAGAGUGUUCCCUGCGUCAACAAUUUAUUCAUUCCACAAACAUUUCUAAGUGUCCAUGGUGACCCAGACAUCAUGGGAACUUCAGGGUUCCAGAGCUGAGUAGAACACAACUCCCAUCCUUAGGGAUUCACCAUCCAGUAGAGGAGAAAGACGUCAAGACAGAAGACAGAAGGGAAAGGAAAAGCUCAAUGCUGUGCCUUCAACUUAGCUUCUCCAUUUUUUGGAGAAGGGUUAAUAGGGGAAGCAGAGAGAGAGAUGAGAGACCAGAGUUUCUAGGGCCUUUAUCUCCAGAGCAGAGGGUCUCAAACCUUAGUGAGCAAAGACUGAUCCAGAAGACUUGUUGGAGGCAUAGCUUCCAGUUCAGCGAGCCAUUUCAGCAGAUUGGAGAUCCCCUGCCUGCAGCACGUGCUGAUCUCCAAGGGUGAGGCUGGAUGAAGCCAGGGGCUAUGGAAAAGGAGACUGUUUCAGAGGACUUGACACCAUCUUCAGUAAUUUCUCUGGUUCUUGGCAGCUCCAUUUGGCUGCGUCCCUACCCUGCAUAACCCUCCCAGCUAGUCUACUCCAGGGCAGCGUCCAGCUGGUGACCUGAGAGGGCAGCGGCGCACCAGUCUCCAUGAAGGUUGAGCUCCGAUGGCCAAUAGCAAUUUCCACCUUGUGGUCUACAACUCUUCAUCCCGACUGCAUGGAGGUUGGUCUCUCUGUUCAGCUGGAUUUAGGCCACCAUCUGAGCCCCCGGGGUACGUUUUGUCUGACCCUGGCACCAUUCGGUUCUUCUACAGCAUCAGUUCUCUUUCCUGCCACCAUGUG
RNAcentral lists this long non-coding RNA (834 nucleotides) under Pan troglodytes (chimpanzee). RNAcentral describes it as "long non-coding RNA NONPTRT017328". The record is from RNAcentral. Lineage: Eukaryota; Metazoa; Chordata; Mammalia; Primates; Hominidae.